RNAcentral lists this microRNA precursor (83 nucleotides) under Phlebotomus papatasi. RNAcentral's name for it is "microRNA mir-186". Lineage: Eukaryota; Metazoa; Arthropoda; Insecta; Diptera; Psychodidae. The record is from RNAcentral.
UGAAAACAUGUUUACAAACAAAAUUUAUUGUGCGCUGGGCAUUAUUCACAACGCACAAUGAGUUUUGUUUGUAAAUAUGUUUU